RNAcentral lists this ribosomal RNA (253 nucleotides) under uncultured bacterium. RNAcentral's name for it is "partial 16S ribosomal RNA". It matches the Rfam family "Bacterial small subunit ribosomal RNA", at positions 524 to 776 of the family's 1533-position model. The record is from RNAcentral.
UACAGAGGGUGCGAGCGUUGUUCGGAAUUAUUGGGCGUAAAGCGCUUGUAGGCGGCUUGUUAAGUCGCGUGUGAAAUCCCCAGGCUCAACCUGGGAAGUGCGCGCGAAACUGGCGAGCUUGAAUGCCGGAGAGGGUCGCGGAAUUCCCGGUGUAGAGGUGAAAUUCGUAGAUAUCGGGAGGAACACCAGUGGCGAAGGCGGCGACCUGGACGGACAUUGACGCUGAGACGCGAAAGCGUGGGGAGCAAACAGG